Molecule: ribosomal RNA, 506 nt
Filed under: uncultured bacterium
Lineage: Bacteria
Description: bacterial SSU rRNA
Rfam family: Bacterial small subunit ribosomal RNA
Source: RNAcentral
GAGUUUGAUCCUGGCUCAGGACGAACGCUGGCGGCGCGCCUAACACAUGCAAGUCGAACGGAAUCAAGAGGAGCUUGCUUUUCUUAGCUUAGUGGCGAACGGGUGAGUAACGCGUGAGUAACCUGCCCUGGAGUGGGGGACAACAGUUGGAAACGACUGCUAAUACCGCAUAAGCCCACGAUCCGGCAUCGGAUUGAGGGAAAAGGAUUUAUUCGCUUCAGGAUGGACUCGCGUCCAAUUAGCUAGUUGGUGAGGUAACGGCCCACCAAGGCGACGAUUGGUAGCCGGACUGAGAGGUUGAACGGCCACAUUGGGACUGAGACACGGCCCAGACUCCUACGGGAGGCAGCAGUGGGGGAUAUUGCACAAUGGGGGAAACCCUGAUGCAGCGACGCCGCGUGGAGGAAGAAGGUUUUCGGAUUGUAAACUCCUGUCGUUAGGGACGAUAAUGACGGUACCUAACAAGAAAGCACCGGCUAACUACGUGCCAGCCGCCGCGGUAAUAC